Long non-coding RNA from Vespula pensylvanica (western yellowjacket), 1826 nucleotides. RefSeq lists it as uncharacterized. Lineage: Eukaryota; Metazoa; Arthropoda; Insecta; Hymenoptera; Vespidae. The record is from RefSeq and is a predicted model, not a curated record. The transcript is spliced from 4 exons.
UGAAAAAGAAGUUACUGGAAUGUAUUCAGCGAAAAAGUAUUCUUGAAUAAAAUUAUUGUUUAAUUUACACGUUCGUAAGGUGAAUUAUGAGAUUAAAAACGAUUUUCUCGAGAAAUUAUUAAACAAACGUAUCUACGUCGAUGUUAUCUACGAUACAGCGUAGAAAAAGGUUAUAUAGCGCCAUUUAAUAAAAAGAAGAAAUUGCGGCAGAGAUUAGGAUUGAAAGUUCAUUCAAUACAUAGCAAUACAAAUUACCUCUUCAAAUUUUUGAAAAACAAGAUUAGUGAUGUCUGAUAAAGUGUAUUCAAAUAAGACAGUUGGAUGGAGAAUAAACAUCACUGAAGACGUCGAUAAAGUAAAUGCACUAGUUUGUGGAGUACAAUAAUUUUUUAUAGAAAUUGUAGAAGCCAUGAACAAUGUUUUAAAUCGGAUAACUAUAAAGAUAAUGAAAAGAAUGGAAACAUGACUUGAAUAGAGGAAGGAGAACCUGUUUGAAAGACCAUUUUUUAAUGAAAAGACUAUUAAGGAUUAUCUAUCAGACAGUAUCAUCGAUCAAUCAUUAGAAUGUUAUGGUCAAGUUAUAGGAUACAAUAACUUAAAUGUUAUAAAAAAAGCUGUAUAUAUAACCAUCUUCCAUAUAAUACCAAUAGAUGAUAAGCAGUUUCAAGACUUUUCUUCAAGCGAUUUAGAAAUAUAAAAUAGUUGGAGCGUAACUUUAUUUAUAAGAAUUCUUUACCUGAAUCUAUUAUGUUGAUUGUAAGGCCACUUUAAAGAGAUUUGGCAAAUUCCGAUGUAUUGAAGAAUGUCUAGCAAAGAAAACAGUGAAAAGGAAUCAUUCAUUAACAUUGUGUGAACAAGUGUAUCAAAAGAUGUAUUUAUGGACUCCUGUACAUUGAAGCUUAGUAUAUGUGAUGCUGUUGUCAUAUUUACUGCUGAUAAUGGCGGCAGAUUGGAAGAGGUAGGCGUAAAAUGACCAUACUGAAGGAACUGAACAAGGAGCGAGUUGAUAAUGCAAAACUACAAACCUAAAUAUUGUCUAAAAAGAUAAUAUUUCAUCUUUGGUAAGAUGAAGAAGAAUUCAUUUGGAUAAUACAGAAGAAGAUGCAUGGUUUUGACUACUGUUUUUACUAUAAAAUGGAUUUGGAUGAGUAGAAAUGAAGGAAGUGCCAUUAAAAAUUUAAUCUAAAGAAGUUUCACUAUUAUCUUGUGUAUCGUAUUAAAUAAUCAUCUGAGAAAGAAAAAGAUAAAACAGAGUGUUACGUCUGAGAAUUUAUGGAAAAUUUGACAUAUGGGUAGAACGUGUUAAAAAUAGUGGAUAGAUUAAAUUAUGCAAACAAUAAUUGAUAAAUUCCUAUGUUCGAAUUAAGAAUAAUAUUGAGAAUAAUAAUACUCAAUAAUAUUGUCAACAGAUAAAAGACAAGAGGUUUUCAACGAUAUCCUUUGUCUGUUGUAAGUCAAUUUCAAAAUUUUCACAAUUCAAAAUUUCACAAUGCUCUGAUUUGUCGAUGUAGUUUCCAACUAUCCGACGGAAACAUCGAAUGUAUCAAGGAAAAGAAAUUAAUAAAGCAUGUAUUCCAAAUGAGAAAUAUAACAAGUUACGAUAACGAGUUAAAAGUUGACUUGUGCGUGAAAUUCUCAAAUCCAAAUUCUCGUAUCAGAAAAAAGAAAAUUUGUUUGUUUCUGAGAGAAAUUCUCGAAUCGAAAUUCGUGCUGUCGUAUCAGAAUCUCAUCCGAAUUUUGUCAUUGAUAGGAUAUUUGAAAGAUUUACGGACAUUAAAAUUUAAAAUGUAUUAAAUACAAAAUAAAAUUAUAUUAAAAAUAAAAAA